GGCCGUGUAGCUCAAUGAUUAGAGCCGUCCGCUCAUAACGGAUUGGUUGCAGGUUUGAUUCCUGUCGCGGCUACCA
RNAcentral lists this transfer RNA (76 nucleotides) under Pseudovibrio sp. Ad5. RNAcentral describes it as "tRNA-Met". It matches the Rfam family "tRNA". From Rfam's summary of the family: Transfer RNA (tRNA) molecules are approximately 80 nucleotides in length. Their secondary structure includes four short double-helical elements and three loops (D, anti-codon, and T loops). Further hydrogen bonds mediate the characteristic L-shaped molecular structure. tRNAs have two regions of fundamental functional importance: the anti-codon, which is responsible for specific mRNA codon recognition, and the 3' end, to which the tRNAs corresponding amino acid is attached (by aminoacyl-tRNA synthetases). tRNAs cope with the degeneracy of the genetic code in two manners: having more than one tRNA (with a specific anti-codon) for a particular amino acid; and 'wobble' base-pairing, i.e. permitting non-standard base-pairing at the 3rd anti-codon position. Lineage: Bacteria; Pseudomonadati; Pseudomonadota; Alphaproteobacteria; Hyphomicrobiales; Stappiaceae. The record is from RNAcentral.